AGUGAGGCCAGCUGCGGUGAAGAGGGUGCCUUCUUGCCUGGAGUUCCCUCUGCUACGGCUGCCCCCUCCCAGCCCUGGCCCACUGAGCCAGACCCAGCUGUCCCCAUUCCCACUUCUGGUCCUGCCACCUCCUGAGCCACCUUCUCACCUGGUCUGGGUAGAGUAAUGGCCUCGAGCACAGGUGACCAGAGCCAGAUGGUGAAAAACGGACUGAGAACGAAGGUGCUGACGCUGGACAGCAUGAACCCACGUGUGCAGAGGGUGGAGUACGCGGUGCGUGGCCCCAUAGUGCAGCGAGCCUUGGAGCUGGAGCAGGAGCUGCGCCAGGGUGUGAAGAAGCCUUUCACCGAGGUCAUCCGUGCCAACAUUGGGGACGCACAGGCUAUGGGGCAGAGGCCCAUCACCUUCCUGCGCCAGGUGAGGCUCCUGCACUGCCCGCUGCACCCGCCCACCCCCAGCCCAUGUGCCCUGGCCUCAGCACUCCGUCUUCCCAGGUCUUGGCCCUCUGUGUUAACCCUGAUCUUCUGAGCAGCCCCAACUUCCCUGAGGAUGCCAAGAAAAGGGCGGAGCGCAUCCUGCAGGCGUGUGGGGGCCACAGUCUGGGUGAGAGCCAGGGCCAGGAGGAAGCAGAGGGCCGCCCUGCCACUGGAGGAGGGAAGU
This 660-nucleotide small RNA is filed under the name Pongo abelii (Sumatran orangutan). RNAcentral's name for it is "retained intron". Lineage: Eukaryota; Metazoa; Chordata; Mammalia; Primates; Hominidae. The record is from RNAcentral.